GAUGAACGCUAGCGGGAGGCUUAACACAUGCAAGUCGAGGGGCAGCAUAGGGUAGCAAUACUCUGAUGGCGACCGGCAAAACGGGUGAGUAACGCGUAUGCAACCUACCCUGUACAGGGGGAUAACCCGGAGAAAUUCGGACUAAUAUCCCGUAAUAAUAUCCGGAGGCAUCUUUGGAUAUUUAAAGUUCCGACGGUACGGGAUGGGCAUGCGUAACAUUAACUGGUUGGUAAGGUAACGGCUUACCAAGGCUAUGAUGUUUAGGGGUCCUGAGAGGGUGGUCCCCCACACUGGUACUGAGACACGGACCAGACUCCUACGGGAGGCAGCAGUGAGGAAUAUUGGUCAAUGGGCGCAAGCCUGAACCAGCCAUCCCGCGUGCAGGAAGACGGCCCUAUGGGUUGUAAACUGCUUUUCCAGGGAGAGAAACUUACGCACGUGUUGCGUGACUGACGGUACCCUGGGAAUAAGCAUCGGCUAACUCCGUGCCAGCAGCCGCGGUAAACCGAGAGUA
RNAcentral lists this ribosomal RNA (514 nucleotides) under uncultured bacterium. RNAcentral describes it as "bacterial SSU rRNA". It matches the Rfam family "Bacterial small subunit ribosomal RNA", at positions 28 to 533 of the family's 1533-position model. The record is from RNAcentral.